CAGGGACGUCACUGACAUCCUGUGCGUGCACCCAUAGCAACAGCAGAGCGGAGCAGCGAGGAAGAGGACGCCCGCGCAUGGUAAGGUAAGGUCCCGGUCGCAAAUCUUCAUUUCUUCCGCCACCCGCGCGGGACGCCGACGGUGACGUCAUUCACAGCCGCCGCCAGGGAGAAGGAGCAAGGCACAGGCCGGGAGGAAAAUUUUAGAAAAGCAUCUAAUUUCAUGAAUCUUUCCUCAUUGUCAAGAGCUCCACAACCUAUUAGAAGUCUAUGUAUUCCCAUGAAAUAAACAUACCAAUAGAUUAAGAAAUUAACAGCAAAGUUAAACAUGAAGCAACCUCAACCGGGAGCGGAGUCACUGUAUAGAAGACCAGAGCACGGAGCAUGGAAUAGACACCGCAUCAGGCAGAAUCUGUCAACACAACAAUAGGACAAGCGCAAUUUUCUUCUGUGACUCAUCGAAGCAAUAUUGUCUUUACGAUAAAGGCGGUAAUGAUAUAGUCAGGGACGGCAGGUACUGAGCCACUGAUCCCUUAUCCUACAUCAGUAUAAUUAAAAGCUAUAGUAGAAGGUUCUGUUUUUGGCAUAGAUGGACAAAUCCGUGGUGACGUAACACAUUUAUCCUCAAUGCACCUGUUUUGAUGUUUAUCACAGAUAUAACUAAAGAACAGUCAGCCCUGAAUGAUGACAAUUACAUAAAAAAAUAUAAAUAAUAGGAUGUAGAUGCAAAUAAUUCCAUCUAAACUAUAUCAAAUGGAGCUUGUUUGAUUAUGUGCUGAAUCCUAUACUACCAGGAGCCUGGCAUUUCAUACAAUGACUAUGUGGUGUCCCGGUACCGCAUCCUAUACGGUACCUGUUUAUAGGUCCCCAUAGCCAUAGUCCCUAGGACGUCGGGGUCCUUUUGUAUGGUCCACCCCUAGUCACCUCUCACCCCUAUAGUCAUUGCUCUAGUCAUAUGUUCCUUAUUUGUGGAAGUUUAACUCUAUAAAAUGUAUAUAAAUAGUUAAUUACCUGUGAGAAGCGUAGCACGACCUGCGGGUCACGUGAUCAGGUAAACUCUAUGGUAUUUCUGCUUGAGGACCUUUGGAGGUCCUUGUGACGUAAUGCACUAAUUUCCUUUGUGACGGUGAGUGACAGAUGGCUGGACCAAUAAAAACGGCCCCGCCCCGCCCAUAUAAGGGCGCGGCGGCCAUUAAUCUCUUGCUUGGUUCCUGGCUGUUGACGAGAAAGGAUCUGCGCUGCUGUUCUAUUCCAAAUUGUGAGUGUAUCAAUCCCUAAACACUCUGCAAGACCACCGGACCUUAUCUAUCCCCUAAAUCCGGACGAAUCUUCGCAAUAUACCCUGAAUUCAGAGACUAUUAUCUAAAGUCAAGGUCGGCAACAUCUGUCAGUCAUUGAAGUGUAGAGAGACUGUUUGAUUGAGACUGUUACUACUCUGUGGAUGUACCGAAAGCUGUUAA
Molecule: long non-coding RNA, 1459 nt
Organism: Hyla sarda
Lineage: Eukaryota; Metazoa; Chordata; Amphibia; Anura; Hylidae
Exons: 3
Source: RefSeq, a predicted model, not a curated record